Alosa sapidissima (American shad) is the source of this 138-nucleotide long non-coding RNA. RefSeq lists it as uncharacterized. The transcript is spliced from 3 exons. NCBI's taxonomy places the organism in Eukaryota, Metazoa, Chordata, Actinopteri, Clupeiformes, Clupeidae. The record is from RefSeq and is a predicted model, not a curated record.
GAGGAGUGGACGAGUGCCUAAAGGUGAUAAUACAUGGGGCAACUUCUUGAGCAAUGUUGCUGGGCAACCACAUAACCAGUUCUAUUUAUUCUGAUUGGAUAAUCAUAACAACUUGCCUACUGAUGAUUAAAGUUCUCC